GUAAAAUCAGGCUCGUCUGCACCAAUUGCUUGACUUUUGCGCCACCAAGUGGCCAUGCAGAACAUACGCGUGUCGCCGAGUAAAUAAGUGAUCCAAACCAUUCGUUCUGCCUAUCGGACCUUCUGUAGUGCUUUUUCAUAAAGAUUACUAGCUGUUUUAUUCAACAGGUAACGUCUACAAAUGUUAGUCUAUAGCGUUAUUAGUCUACCACUAACAACAGACGCAGCAACAAUUACAUAAAGAAGAAGAAGAAGAAGAACCUACUAUUUUAGUAUUUUAUGUUUGCUUUGUUGUCUGUUUGAAAGCAAAGUAAGGGUACCGUUAGCAUGCUGUUUUCUUUCUUUUCUUUCUUUUUUUUUUGUUUACGUUCUUAAUAUGAGACAUAGGCCUAGUACUUAAACGUCACCACUAGAUGGCAGCACAACCCACCUGUCCACCCACUGAAAUUAAAUUGAGGGUACCAAUAGCAUAUAGUUGUUGUUUUUUUCUUCCUGUUUACGUUCUUAAUAUGAGACAUAGGCCUAGUACUUAAACGUCACCACUAGAUGGCAGCACAACCCAUCUGUCCACCCAAUACUGAUACAGCAUGUUGCUAGGCAGCAGACAGGAAGCCAAGCAAGGCAGAGCAGCGGGUCACUGCGGAAAGGAGACUCUGCACCCACACACACCUUUCAUCCUUUCAUCCCAACUAAUACACUCAGGAAAAAAAGAGACAGAGAGAGAAAAGAGGUGCAUCUUUAUCAGGCAACACAGUAUAGCAGCUCACAGCUCCAGGGUCCCCAGUUUGAUCCUGAGGCCUGUUUAUUGUCUAUGUGGAGUUUUGCAUGCUCUCCCAUGUCUGGGAUUCCUGCAAGUUCUACAGUUUCCUCCUCCUUCCCAAAAACAUGCAUAUAGGUGGAUUGGCUCACCAAUGAAUACAAGUCUGAUCUCUAGUCAGCUUUUUUUUGUCAUUUUUAGCACAUCACAUGGCAAUAGAUAAAAACAAAACACAGUUCCUUCAGGAAAUGACUGUGCUAUAUGUAGUAUACAUAGUCAUUGACGGGGACUAAAAUACAACAGUAAAUACGGACAAUAAAUACAGACAAAAAGUCAC
Long non-coding RNA from Ictalurus punctatus (channel catfish), 1093 nucleotides. The record is from Ensembl. Lineage: Eukaryota; Metazoa; Chordata; Actinopteri; Siluriformes; Ictaluridae.